GAUACUAGGUGUAGGAGGUAUCGACCCCUCCUGUGCCGGAGUUAACGCAAUAAGUAUCCCGCCUGGGAAGUACGAUCGCAAGAUUAAAACUCAAAGGAAUUGACGGGGGCCCGCACAAGCGGUGGAGUAUGUGGUUUAAUUCGACGCAACGCGAAGAACCUUACCAGGUCUUGACAUUGAUCGCGAUCUGCAGAAAUGCGGAGUUCUUCUUCGGAAGACGAGAAAACAGGUGGUGCAUGGCUGUCGUCAG
Molecule: ribosomal RNA, 250 nt
Filed under: uncultured bacterium
Lineage: Bacteria
Description: partial 16S ribosomal RNA
Rfam family: Bacterial small subunit ribosomal RNA
Source: RNAcentral